RNAcentral lists this ribosomal RNA (300 nucleotides) under Pseudomonas sp. UFLA04_0885. Its description in RNAcentral is "bacterial SSU rRNA". It matches the Rfam family "Bacterial small subunit ribosomal RNA", at positions 160 to 462 of the family's 1533-position model. The record is from RNAcentral. Lineage: Bacteria; Pseudomonadati; Pseudomonadota; Gammaproteobacteria; Pseudomonadales; Pseudomonadaceae.
ACGCUAAUACCGCAUACGUCCUACGGGAGAAAGCAGGGGACCUUCGGGCCUUGCGCUAUCAGAUGAGCCUAGGUCGGAUUAGCUAGUUGGUGAGGUAAUGGCUCACCAAGGCGACGAUCCGUAACUGGUCUGAGAGGAUGAUCAGUCACACUGGAACUGAGACACGGUCCAGACUCCUACGGGAGGCAGCAGUGGGGAAUAUUGGACAAUGGGCGAAAGCCUGAUCCAGCCAUGCCGCGUGUGUGAAGAAGGUCUUCGGAUUGUAAAGCACUUUAAGUUGGGAGGAAGGGUUGUAGAUUA